AGAUAUUGUUGCACAUGAGCAAAGGGCAUUUUCCAAGAAAUCGAAAGAAAGAUGUAGGGAUGUUUCAACUGGGAUUUUUGAGUGGCUUGAGUAGAGUUAUAUGAGAAAUUGAUUGAACUUGGUGAUGUUAAAGAAGUUAUCUUCAAAGCCCGGGCAAAGGAGAACUGCAUCAGGGCAACAGAAGGGGUCAAAAAAUUUACAUACUUGUUGUAUGAACAACCUUUCAAAUCAGUAACCUUAUUAGAGGCAAGGCUUCAUUCUGAGUCCAGAAGUGUAAUGGUUCUGCUGAGAUAAAUCAUUCUGGUAUCAAUAGUUUAGGGAAGGACAUCAGGCCAAAAAAAGUGAGAUUACUGACUGUAGCAUAUACAGGGACAGUUGUACUGAUAUGUUGUUUCCUAGUGAAACUUUUUAGAGAGGAACUAUAGCAAAUCUAUCAUGAGAUAAUAAUGAAGGUUCGACUUUGAGAGAGGCGGAACCCAAGCUGUCUUCCAUUUCUCAGAUGCUCAUGGUUAAUGUACAUGUUGUUUUUUGAAGUUUGGCGAGUAUAUCUAUCUUGUGCUUCCGUAUUUCUCUCCUUUUUACACAUUUUUUUGUGCAGUUGUCUAUUUUUUGCUCUCAGGUUUGCUGGACCGCCUUGAGUCAUAUAUUUUUUAAUGCUAUAGCUGCAUAUUGUGAGCGGUGUUACUCUUGGCAAAUAGCUGUCUAAUUCGUGAUCAAUUUUCUGCAGAAAUCUGAAAAGGUGGGAUCCGAUCAUCAAAAGUCCGAAUGAAGUAUUCAUGCGGUUCAAUUUGUAAGCUGCUUUUAGGAAUUAAACAUACAUUAUGAAGCCACUUUAUUUGGUUGAUAAUAGAAUAACUCGUGAAGUUCCUGAGCUUGUACGUGUAACUGGCAAACCUUACCUGAAUUGUACCAAAAAAGGUAUUUCAUGAAUCGUUGGACAUGCCUCUUUUAAUCGACUUUUCAAAGCUAUUUUUGUGUGUUCACUCUUUGUCAAUGCUCAUUUGUUUGAUUUUCGUACACAAUGAGUUGAUGAGUUCCAUCUUUCCCUUCAAGAUUAAAGCAUUCAUUCUUGUAAGUAAUUUAGUUUCGCGUUUCAAGACACUCCAGAAUGCAAUUUUGAUGUGAUAUGCACAAUCUUUUGUAAAA
This 1146-nucleotide long non-coding RNA is filed under the name Olea europaea subsp. europaea. Lineage: Eukaryota; Viridiplantae; Streptophyta; Magnoliopsida; Lamiales; Oleaceae. The record is from RNAcentral.